UCUCAGGGUCUCUGCCCUUUGGUCCUACCCAGCAGAUCGAGUGCAGAUAUAUCUAGACAGACUUGCAGAAGCAGAAAUGGCUCAUCCUCAAUCUGGAGCUUCUCAUGACUUUCCAGAAGAAAUGUCAACAUCCAUUUGUUUGGGUGAGGCUUGGGUGAGCACGCCAAGACUACCUCAGAGGACUCUCUUUAGAUGCACUUGUGAGUCUGUCCUUCUGCACCAAGUCACCCACAAGCUGGCUCUUCUGAUGCUCCAAAGCUGCCCUUGGCCCCCUGUAUAGCCUGCAGAGCUACUGUGCAUCGGACUCCAUCCUGGGCAGGACUGAGGUCUCUUCAGUCCCCCCUUCCCACUCAGCAGCCAAUCCAGGGCCAGGGUGGGGUGUUCAACUGAGCCCCCACCUUUACAGUUUUACAUAAAUUUCAUCAGAACCCUUUGAUCCAACUUCGGUUUACUUCUCCCAGAUGUUGCAAAACAGCUGUCUUGGCUGCACUUUUAAAAAUUGUCUUCCCAAUGUCCAGUGUAAUUCUUGGCACUC
RNAcentral lists this long non-coding RNA (535 nucleotides) under Mus pahari (shrew mouse). Its description in RNAcentral is "lncRNA (MGP_PahariEiJ_G0003768.1)". The record is from RNAcentral. Lineage: Eukaryota; Metazoa; Chordata; Mammalia; Rodentia; Muridae.